UACGAAGGGGGCGAGCGUUGUUCGGAGUUACUGGGCGUAAAGGGCGCGUAGGCGGCGAUCCAAGUUAGGCGUGAAAGCCCCGGGCUCAACCUGGGAAUAGCGCUUAAGACUGGGUUGCUCGAGUGCGGGAGAGGUGAGUGGAAUUCCCAGUGUAGAGGUGAAAUUCGUAGAUAUUGGGAAGAACACCAGUGGCGAAGGCGGCUCACUGGCCCGCAACUGACGCUGAGGCGCGAAAGCAUGGGGAGCGAACAGG
RNAcentral lists this ribosomal RNA (253 nucleotides) under uncultured bacterium. Its description in RNAcentral is "partial 16S ribosomal RNA". It matches the Rfam family "Bacterial small subunit ribosomal RNA", at positions 524 to 776 of the family's 1533-position model. The record is from RNAcentral.